Non-coding RNA from Acanthosepion pharaonis, 112 nucleotides. NCBI's taxonomy places the organism in Eukaryota, Metazoa, Mollusca, Cephalopoda, Sepiida, Sepiidae. The record is from the annotation of a GenBank genome assembly.
UUACGGCCAUAUCACGUUGAAACACCGGUUCUCAUACGAUGACUGAAAUUAAGCAAUACUGAACCUGAUCAGUACCUAGAUGGAUGAUCGCUCGGGAAUGUCAGCUGCUGUA